Molecule: ribosomal RNA, 244 nt
Filed under: uncultured bacterium
Lineage: Bacteria
Description: partial 16S ribosomal RNA
Rfam family: Bacterial small subunit ribosomal RNA
Source: RNAcentral
GUGGCAAGCGUUAUCCGGAUUUAUUGGGCGUAAAGCGAGCGCAGGCGGUUGCUUAGGUCUGAUGUGAAAGCCUUCGGCUUAACCGAAGCAGUGCAUCGGAAACCGGGCGACUUGAGCGCAGAAGAGGACAGUGGAAAUCCAUGUGUAGCGGUGGAAUGCGUAGAUAUAUGGAAGAACACCAGUGGCGAAGGCGGCUCUCUGGUCUGUAACUGACGCUGAGGCUCGAAAGCAUGGGUAGCGAACA